AAAGUACCAUAAUGUGACCAUAUAAAAUCUUACAUGGAUUUAUUUAUUUAUUUGAGUGGUAUUUUUCACUGGAGCAUUGACAGAAACAGCAGUUUAUAUCUGUAUUAGAUCUAUAAAUUAAAUAUAGAUAAUUAAAUAAAGUUAAAUACAUUAAAAUAUAUUAAAGUUGAAUAUAUUUAAAUAGAUAAUUAGAUUGAAAUAAUAUUAUAUCCUAUUAAAUAAUUAAAUAAUAAAUAUUUAACACAUAGAUUUAAAUUAAAUGAAAUAGUGUAUUUAAACGUGCGCUGGCCACGAGGGGCGUUAACGUGAUGUUACGUGAGUGACGUAAACGUGAUGGCAAAAAAAAAAAAAAAACGUAAACGUAACGUGAUGGCGCAAAUAACCACGAAGACGGAAGAAUAAUUCUAUUUAUUACAAAAGACUGAAGAUAUAACUGCCGCCAUCCUUUAAUUUAUUUAUUUAUACGUUGAGGACACUUUAUAAACCUACAGAGAUACCGGACCAACGAACGACCUUCACAACGGGACGGAGCUAACGUAAUUAACGUUAACGGUUACUUGGAAAUUCAAACAGUAACGGUCAUCUGACAACUGCGCUGAGCCAAAGGACGGGAACAGCAACAAGAGUUUAACUUCUGAUUCGUAAUCUACACACUCUACUGGGCAGUUCAUGAAGACAGAUAGAUGUUGUGCCGACCAGGACAGUUCCUCCUACCACACCAGACUUUGCUGUAUAUGGAUGCCUGACCACUAGCACUGGACAUUUACAACAUUUUGGCACCAGGGAUCCAUUGCAGAGAAGAUUUUUCAAAGACACCCUCAGAAUUACAACAGAUUUUAAGGCUUAAAAUUAUUGUGGGUGGGAGUAUAAUGAACAUAAUAUGAUUGUUUUAUUUUAUUAUUAUUAUUUAUUUUUAAAUAGUUCCCAUUUUUUAAUAAUACAUUUGUUUAAUAAUACAGCACAAUAUAGGGCUAAGUUGCACCAGGUCAGGAAAAAACACAUAAGUUGCAUCCGUGUAUAAGACACAUUUUACUAUUAAUUUCAGAAAUAAUUUAAAUACUGAUAAAUAAAACAAACGUUAAGAAACUUAAAAACUAUGAACACUGUAAAGAUUUUAUUUUCCCUCACUUCAAAUCAUUUAAAUUGAAUACUAUUCAAAACAGAAUAAAAAUAAAA
Molecule: long non-coding RNA, 1176 nt
Organism: Cyprinus carpio carpio
Lineage: Eukaryota; Metazoa; Chordata; Actinopteri; Cypriniformes; Cyprinidae
Source: Ensembl